RNAcentral lists this ribosomal RNA (501 nucleotides) under Triticum aestivum (bread wheat). Its description in RNAcentral is "partial small subunit ribosomal RNA". Lineage: Eukaryota; Viridiplantae; Streptophyta; Magnoliopsida; Poales; Poaceae. The record is from RNAcentral.
AUGAACACUGCACCAGAGCAUUGGAGUAGGGCCUACUUCAAGCUAGGGUCUUGGUGUGACUCAAUGGAGAACAAUCUUUGUAAAUCAUUCAACAAUGCUAUUAUGAAAGCAAGGUUCUUUCCUAUAAUCAUAGCAAAUGAGAUCAUUAGGAAAAAGGUGGUGACACAGAUCCGGGAAAAUAGAGAUAAAUCUAACAAAUGGACUAGAACCAUUUGCCCAAACAUUUUCAAAAAACCGAAACUAAACAUUAAGAGGUCAGGGGUAUGUCAGGUUCUUUGGAAUGGGAAGAAAGGAUUUGAAGUUCAAGAAGGUGUGCAUAGGAGGUAUACAGUAACCUUGACAUAUGGAAGUGUUCUUGAAGAUAUUGGGAGCUGUCAGGUUUGCCCUGUAGACAUGCUAUCGGUGCAAUUUGCACCAUCUCUGGACAGAUACAUGAUUACAUUGCCCCAUGCUACAAGAUCUCUGGGUACAACAAGAUAUACGACCAUGUCCUGCAACUAG